CAGUCGCCGCGGUAAUACGUAGGUGGCAAGCGUUGUCCGGAGUUAUUGGGCGUAAAGGGCUCGCAGGCGGUUUCUUAAGUCUGAUGUGAAAGCCCCCGGCUCAACCGGGGAGGGUCAUUGGAAACUGGGAAACUUGAGUGCAGAAGAGGAGAGUGGAAUUCCACGUGUAGCGGUGAAAUGCGUAGAGAUGUGGAGGAACACCAGUGGCGAAGGCGACUCUCUGGUCUGUAACUGACGCUGAGGAGCGAAAGCGUGGGGAGCGAACAGGAUUAGAGACCCCAGUAGUCCCUGUCUCUUAUAC
This 301-nucleotide ribosomal RNA is filed under the name uncultured bacterium. RNAcentral describes it as "partial 16S ribosomal RNA". It matches the Rfam family "Bacterial small subunit ribosomal RNA", at positions 509 to 807 of the family's 1533-position model. The record is from RNAcentral.